RNAcentral lists this transfer RNA (77 nucleotides) under Pseudomonadota bacterium. RNAcentral's name for it is "tRNA-Pro". It matches the Rfam family "tRNA". From Rfam's summary of the family: Transfer RNA (tRNA) molecules are approximately 80 nucleotides in length. RNAcentral also lists the same sequence under 4 other names. The record is from RNAcentral. Lineage: Bacteria; Pseudomonadati; Pseudomonadota.
CGGGGUGUAGCUUAGCCUGGUAGAGCGCCUGGUUUGGGACCAGGAGGUCGAGAGUUCGAAUCUCUCCGCCCCGACCA